UUUAACUGAAGAGUUUGAUCAUGGCUCAGAUUGAACGCUGGCGGCAGGCUUAACACAUGCAAGUCGAGCGGGGGAAGGUAGCUUGCUACUGGACCUAGCGGCGGACGGGUGAGUAAUGCUUAGGAAUCUGCCUAUUAGUGGGGGACAACAUCUCGAAAGGGAUGCUAAUACCGCAUACGUCCUA
This 184-nucleotide ribosomal RNA is filed under the name Acinetobacter baumannii. RNAcentral's name for it is "partial 16S ribosomal RNA". It matches the Rfam family "Bacterial small subunit ribosomal RNA", at positions 1 to 182 of the family's 1533-position model. Lineage: Bacteria; Pseudomonadati; Pseudomonadota; Gammaproteobacteria; Moraxellales; Moraxellaceae. The record is from RNAcentral.